RNAcentral lists this ribosomal RNA (464 nucleotides) under Vreelandella stevensii. Its description in RNAcentral is "partial 16S ribosomal RNA". It matches the Rfam family "Bacterial small subunit ribosomal RNA", at positions 338 to 795 of the family's 1533-position model. Lineage: Bacteria; Pseudomonadati; Pseudomonadota; Gammaproteobacteria; Oceanospirillales; Halomonadaceae. The record is from RNAcentral.
CCUACGGGAGGUGCAGUGGGGAAUAUUGGACAAUGGGCGAAAGCCUGAUCCAGCCAUGCCGCGUGUGUGAAGAAGGCCUUCGGGUUGUAAAGCACUUUCAGUGGGGAAGAAAGCCUUGGGGCUAAUACCCUCGAGGAAGGACAUCACCCACAGAAGAAGCACCGGCUAACUCCGUGCCAGCAGCCGCGGUAAUACGGAGGGUGCGAGCGUUAAUCGGAAUUACUGGGCGUAAAGCGCGCGUAGGCGGUCUGAUAAGCCGGUUGUGAAAGCCCCGGGCUCAACCUGGGAACGGCAUCCGGAACUGUCAGGCUAGAGUGCAGGAGAGGAAGGUAGAAUUCCCGGUGUAGCGGUGAAAUGCGUAGAGAUCGGGAGGAAUACCAGUGGCGAAGGCGGCCUUCUGGACUGACACUGACGCUGAGGUGCGAAAGCGUGGGUAGCAAACAGGAUUAGAUACCCUUGUAGUC